GGAAAUGAGACACAAGACCAGAUUACAUCAAUUACCGUAAUCCGUUCUGAACUUUGCGCUAUAUCAAUUAGACAAACUCGGGGGCUCUAGAACACGGAGAGAUCAUGGAGUGCGGCAAGACGCAGGAACGUCCGGGCAGCCGAUUUUUGUGUGUUUCACAGUGUUUCAAACAGUGUCUUUUCGGUUGUCAAUUGAGCGAGAAGAGAGUAGAUGUAGAUGCG
Caenorhabditis elegans is the source of this 221-nucleotide non-coding RNA. The record is from Ensembl. Lineage: Eukaryota; Metazoa; Nematoda; Chromadorea; Rhabditida; Rhabditidae.